AUCUAAAUAGUUUAAAUAAAAAUUUUGAUUUGUGGCAUCAAAGAUAUAUCUUAUAUUUUAGAUU
This 64-nucleotide transfer RNA is filed under the name Psylliodes thlaspis. Its description in RNAcentral is "tRNA-His". Lineage: Eukaryota; Metazoa; Arthropoda; Insecta; Coleoptera; Chrysomelidae. The record is from RNAcentral.